RNAcentral lists this ribosomal RNA (451 nucleotides) under uncultured bacterium. Its description in RNAcentral is "bacterial SSU rRNA". It matches the Rfam family "Bacterial small subunit ribosomal RNA", at positions 354 to 796 of the family's 1533-position model. The record is from RNAcentral.
GUGAGGAAUUUUGCGCAAUGGGGGCAACCCUGACGCAGCAACGCCGCGUGAGUGAUGAAGGCCUUCGGGUCGUAAAGCUCUGUCAGGUGGGAAGAACCUAUUACAUGUGAACAGUAUGUGAUACUGACGGUACCACUGAAGGAAGCACCGGCUAACUCCGUGCCAGCAGCCGCGGUAAUACGGAGGGUGCAAGCGUUAUUCGGAUUUACUGGGCGUAAAGGGCGCGUAGGCGGUUUAGCAAGUCAGAUGUGAAAUCCCGGGGCUUAACCCCGGAAGUGCAUCUGAUACUGUUAGGCUUGAGUAUGGUAGAGGGAAGUGGAAUUCCUGGUGUAGCGGUGAAAUGCGUAGAUAUCAGGAGGAACACCGGUGGCGAAGGCGACUUCCUGGACCAAAACUGACGCUGAGGCGCGAAGGUGUGGGGAGCAAACAGGAUUAGAAACCCCUGUAGUCC